CCUACGGGAGGCAGCAGUGGGGGAUAUUGCACAAUGGGGGAAACCCUGAUGCAGCGACGCCGCGUGGGUGAAGAAGUAUUUCGGUCUGUAAAGCCCUAUCAUCAGGGAAGAAAGAAGACGGUACCUGACUAAGAAGCCCCUGCUAACUACGUGCCAGCCGCCGCGGUAAGACGUAGGGGGCGAGCGUUCUCCGGAUUCACUGGGUGUAAAGGGAGCGUAGACGGCCGUGCAAGCCAGGAGUGAGAGCCCGGGGCCCCACCCCGGGACUGCUCUUGGAACUGUGCGGCUGGAGUGCGGGAGGGGCAGGCGGAAUUCCUGGUGUAGCGGUGAAAUGCGUAGAUAGCAGGAGGAACACCGGCGGCGAAGGCGGCCUGCUGGACCGCGACUGACGUUGAGGCUCGAAAGCGUGGGGAGCGAACAGGAUUAGAGACCCCAGUAGUC
Molecule: ribosomal RNA, 441 nt
Filed under: uncultured bacterium
Lineage: Bacteria
Description: partial 16S ribosomal RNA
Rfam family: Bacterial small subunit ribosomal RNA
Source: RNAcentral